UGUAACCACGUUAUGUCCAAAUAAGGUAAUGUAACCACGUUAUGCCCAAAUAAGGUAAUGGAGCCCGUAUCAGAGGUUCCUCUGAGGGAUGUGGGAAAGUGGGCUGAGAAGAACCUCGGGGUCAAACCAGUCACAAGACAGUUAACUCUAUGGGCCAACCUCUAUAACCAGAAGUACUUAACCAACAAAAGCACCAUACGGCCCUUCCUACACAUUAGCGCCGUGUUGGUGGGGACUGGGUUCCUCCUCAACUACAAGCACCAAGUACCAUGGAAGGAACACCACUGAUUAUUGGAAAUACUAGUUACAAACACAGCCAUGUGGGACUGAUACCACCUGUAGAAGAGUUAGAAUUAUUAUACGGACCCUUUCGAGGAGUGAAGUUUUUACCACUCAUUUUUGUUUGAUUGCAUUUUCCAAUUACUAUUUUGUGUGAAUUUUGGGCCUCAAUGCUAAACUUUGUUUUUCCAGUCAUAAUUUAUUUCCUAACUCAAGUUAUUUAAUAGUUUUUGUAUAUUUGUAUUUUGAACCUAUUGAGUACGCAUAGCUUAAA
Long non-coding RNA from Bolinopsis microptera, 553 nucleotides. RefSeq lists it as uncharacterized. Lineage: Eukaryota; Metazoa; Ctenophora; Tentaculata; Lobata; Bolinopsidae. The transcript has 2 exons. The record is from RefSeq and is a predicted model, not a curated record.